RNAcentral lists this ribosomal RNA (575 nucleotides) under uncultured bacterium. RNAcentral's name for it is "bacterial SSU rRNA". It matches the Rfam family "Bacterial small subunit ribosomal RNA", at positions 51 to 639 of the family's 1533-position model. The record is from RNAcentral.
ACACAUGCAAGUCGAACGAGCGAGAGAGAGCUUGCUUUCUCAAGCGAGUGGCGAACGGGUGAGUAACGCGUGAGGAACCUGCCUCAAAGAGGGGGACAACAGUUGGAAACGACUGCUAAUACCGCAUAAGCCCACGGCUCGGCAUCGAGCAGAGGGAAAAGGAGCAAUCCGCUUUGAGAUGGCCUCGCGUCCGAUUAGCUAGUUGGUGAGGUAACGGCCCACCAAGGCGACGAUCGGUAGCCGGACUGAGAGGUUGAACGGCCACAUUGGGACUGAGACACGGCCCAGACUCCUACGGGAGGCAGCAGGGGGGAAUAUUGCACAAUGGGGGAAACCCUGAUGCAGCGACGCCGCGUGGAGGAAGAAGGUCUUCGGAUUGUAAACUCCUGUUGUUGAGGAAGAUAAUGACGGUACUCAACAAGGAAGUGACGGCUAACUACGUGCCAGCAGCCGCGGUAAAACGUAGGUCACAAGCGUUGUCCGGAAUUACUGGGUGUAAAGGGAGCGCAGGCGGGGAGACAAGUUGGAAGUGAAAUCCAUGGGCUCAACCCAUGAACUGCUUUCAAAACUGUUUU